AAGAGUUAAGCCUGUCAUGUUCUUCGCCUCCAUCUCUUUCUUUGUUUCUCUGUCCUUCUCACGGAUGCCCGUAAUCUCCUUCUCCUCGCAUCUCCUUUUCUUUUCUCCUCCGCAUCUCCUUUUCUUUUCUCCUCGCAUCUUCUUCUCUCCCCUCCUUAUUCUUUGAGCUUCUAUGGCGAUGGUGUUAAUGAUGGUGGCGGUGUGGACGAUGGUGGUGCUUGUGGCGCUUCAAUUUCAAGGUUAUGGUUAUGGUUCUGAUUUUGGUUUUCUUGAGAGCUGAUGCCUGAUGAGUGAUGAGUUGAUGACCAUGAUCCAGGAAGUGGUUAUUGAGCAUUGUAUAGGGAGGCAGAACUAGUAGUGUAAGUAAGGACAUUUUACUAAAAGUUGCUAUUCUUGCUACUUACUUUUGUUCCGUUCUUCCAUGUGCUUAACAUGUAAAUAUGUAACUAGAAGCUGUAGGAACUUUGAAAAAGUACCUACAUUUCUUGGCUUUGUCCUAGUAUAUUUAUAAUACUGGAAACUAUUAUGUCCAUUUGUGAUAAUAUUGUAAUAUUGCAGAAUACAUUGAAGCUAAUGACUAUCUGCGUGUUUGAAUAGAAUUAAUGUGUUCAUAAUUUUA
Spinacia oleracea (spinach) is the source of this 619-nucleotide long non-coding RNA. RefSeq lists it as uncharacterized. The record is from RefSeq and is a predicted model, not a curated record. NCBI's taxonomy places the organism in Eukaryota, Viridiplantae, Streptophyta, Magnoliopsida, Caryophyllales, Amaranthaceae. The transcript is spliced from 2 exons.